RNAcentral lists this transfer RNA (115 nucleotides) under Coprinellus micaceus. RNAcentral describes it as "tRNA-Gly". It matches the Rfam family "tRNA". From Rfam's summary of the family: Transfer RNA (tRNA) molecules are approximately 80 nucleotides in length. Their secondary structure includes four short double-helical elements and three loops (D, anti-codon, and T loops). The record is from RNAcentral. Lineage: Eukaryota; Fungi; Basidiomycota; Agaricomycetes; Agaricales; Psathyrellaceae.
GCAUCAAUAGGGUAGUGGUAACCUGGGUCGUUGCCAUCAUGGCUUGUGCUCAUCGAGGUACUUACUUCCAGAGUAAUAUCUCGACCCGCUGGGGGUUCGAUUCCCUCUUGAUGCA